This 301-nucleotide ribosomal RNA is filed under the name uncultured bacterium. Its description in RNAcentral is "partial 16S ribosomal RNA". It matches the Rfam family "Bacterial small subunit ribosomal RNA", at positions 509 to 808 of the family's 1533-position model. The record is from RNAcentral.
CAGUCGCCGCGGUAAUACGAAGGGGGCUAGCGUUGCUCGGAAUGACUGGGCGUAAAGGGCGCGUAGGCGGCUCAUACAGUCAGGCGUGAAAGUCCUGGGCUCAACCUGGGGUGGUCGCUUGAGACGUGUGGGCUAGAGUGGGGAAGAGGGUCGUGGAAUUCCCAGUGUAGAGGUGAAAUUCGUAGAUAUUGGGAAGAACACCGGUGGCGAAGGCGGCGACCUGGUCCUUUUACUGACGCUGAGGCGCGAAAGCGUGGGGAGCAAACAGGAUUAGAUACCCCGGUAGUCCCUGUCUCUUAUU